GAUGAACGCUGGCGGCGUGCUUAACACAUGCAAGUCGAACGGGAAACCUUUUAUUGAAGCUUCGGCAGAUUUAGCUGGUUUCUAGUGGCGGACGGGUGAGUAACGCGUGGGUAACCUGCCUUAUACAGGGGGAUAACAACCAGAAAUGGUUGCUAAUACCGCAUAAGCGCACAGGACCGCAUGGUCCGGUGUGAAAAACUCCGGUGGUAUAAGAUGGACCCGCGUUGGAUUAGCUAGUUGGCAGGGUAACGGCCUACCAAGGCGACGAUCCAUAGCCGGCCUGAGAGGGUGAACGGCCACAUUGGGACUGAGACACGGCCCAGACUCCUACGGGAGGCAGCAGUGGGGAAUAUUGCACAAUGGGGGAAACCCUGAUGCAGCGACGCCGCGUGAAGGAAGAAGUAUCUCGGUAUGUAAACUUCUUUCAGCAGGGAAGAUAGUGACGGUACCUGACUAAGAAGCCCCGGCUAACUACGUG
Molecule: ribosomal RNA, 478 nt
Filed under: uncultured bacterium
Lineage: Bacteria
Description: partial 16S ribosomal RNA
Rfam family: Bacterial small subunit ribosomal RNA
Source: RNAcentral